RNAcentral lists this ribosomal RNA (253 nucleotides) under uncultured bacterium. RNAcentral's name for it is "partial 16S ribosomal RNA". It matches the Rfam family "Bacterial small subunit ribosomal RNA", at positions 524 to 776 of the family's 1533-position model. The record is from RNAcentral.
UACAGAGGGUGCGAGCGUUAAUCGGAAUUACUGGGCGUAAAGCGUGCGUAGACGGUCAUGUAAGUCGGAUGUGAAAGCCCCGGGCUCAACCUGGGAAUUGCAUUCGAGACUGCAUGGCUUGGGUGCGGAAGAGGGAAGCGGAAUUUCCGGUGUAGCGGUGAAAUUCGUAGAUAUUCGCAAGAACACCAGUGGCGAAGGCGGCUCACUGGCCCGGUACUGACGCUGAGGUGCGAAAGCGUGGGGAGCAAACAGG